This 330-nucleotide ribosomal RNA is filed under the name uncultured bacterium. Its description in RNAcentral is "bacterial SSU rRNA". It matches the Rfam family "Bacterial small subunit ribosomal RNA", at positions 18 to 344 of the family's 1533-position model. The record is from RNAcentral.
CCUGGCUCAGAUUGAACGCUGGCGGCAGGCUUAACACAUGCAAGUCGAACGGUAACAUGAAGAAGCUUGCUUCUUUGAUGACGAGUGGCGGACGGGUGAGUAAUGCUUGGGAAUCUGGCUUAUGGAGGGGGAUAACGACGGGAAACUGUCGCUAAUACCGCGUAGAAUCGAGAGAUGAAAGUGUGGGACCUUCGGGCCACAUGCCAUAGGAUGAGCCCAAGUGGGAUUAGGUAGUUGGUGGGGUAAAGGCCUACCAAGCCGACGAUCUCUAGCUGGUCUGAGAGGAUGGCCAGCCACACCGGGACUGAGACACGGCCCAGACUCCUACGG